This 509-nucleotide ribosomal RNA is filed under the name uncultured bacterium. Its description in RNAcentral is "bacterial SSU rRNA". It matches the Rfam family "Bacterial small subunit ribosomal RNA", at positions 29 to 535 of the family's 1533-position model. The record is from RNAcentral.
UAUGAACGCUAGCGGCAGGCUUAACACAUGCAAGUCGAGGGGCAGCACGUCUUCGGAUGGUGGCGACCGGCGCACGGGUGAGUAACGCGUAUGCAAUCUACCUUUUACAGGGGCAUAGCCCGGGGAAACCCGGAUUAAUAUCCUAUAGUACCAUUAUAUAGCAUUAUAUUAUGGUUAAAGUUUCGGCGGUAAAAGAUGAGCAUGCGUCCUAUUAGCUUGAUGGUAAGGUAACGGCUUACCAUGGCUAUGAUAGGUAGGGGUCCUGAGAGGGAGACCCCCCACACUGGUACUGAGACACGGACCAGACUCCUACGGGAGGCAGCAGUGAGGAAUAUUGGACAAUGGGCGCAAGCCUGAUCCAGCCAUGCCGCGUGCAGGAAGACGGCCCUAUGGGUUGUAAACUGCUUUUUANACGGGAAGAAACACCCCUUCGUGAAGGGACUUGACGGUACCGUAUGAAUAAGGAUCGGCUAACUCCGUGCCAGCAGCCGCGGUAAUACGGAGGAUCC